GGUGGACAAGCCUACGUCCGAUUAGCUAGUUGGUGGGGUAAUGGCGUUACCAAGGCGACGAUCAGUAGUUGGUCUGAGAGGACGACCAGCCACACUGGGACUAGAGACACGGCCCAGACUCCUACGGGAGGCAGCAGUGGGGAAUUUUGGACAAUGGGCGCAAGCCUGAUCCAGCAAUGCCGCGUGAGUGAAGAAGGCCUUCGGGUUGUAAAAGCUCUUUCAGUUGAAAAGAAAAAGCCGUGACUAAUAAUCAUGGUUCAUGACGGUAUCAACAGAAGAAGCACCGGCUAACUACGUGCCAGCAGCCGCGGUAAUACGUAGGGUGCAAGCGUUAAUCGGAAUUACUGGGCGUAAAGGGUGCGCAGGCGGUUCUGUAAGUCAGAUGUGAAAUCCCCGGGCUUAACCUGGGAACUGCGUUUUGAAACUGCAGAGCUAGAGUGCGGCAGAGG
This 449-nucleotide ribosomal RNA is filed under the name uncultured bacterium. RNAcentral's name for it is "bacterial SSU rRNA". It matches the Rfam family "Bacterial small subunit ribosomal RNA", at positions 220 to 657 of the family's 1533-position model. The record is from RNAcentral.